Long non-coding RNA from Magnolia sinica, 1338 nucleotides. RefSeq lists it as uncharacterized. The transcript is spliced from 4 exons. The record is from RefSeq and is a predicted model, not a curated record. NCBI's taxonomy places the organism in Eukaryota, Viridiplantae, Streptophyta, Magnoliopsida, Magnoliales, Magnoliaceae.
ACUCAGCCUCUCCCUUUCCCCCGCCCUCUCUUCAUCUCCCACGCUCCCUCACCCUCUCUCUCUCGCACUCAGCCUAUCCCUUUCCCUCGCCCCCUCUCGAUCUCUGUCUCUUGGCCCCAUUCCCCUCUCUGUUUCCCAACCUCUCUCUCUCUCUCUCUCUCUCUCUCUCUAUUUUUCUACAUGUCCUAAACAGCAUCAAUGACUAGCUCUAACCCUCUGAGUUCAACGAGUGGAUCAGAUACGAGGAUUUCAAUGAGGAUGGUUGCCAAGUGAGCACCCACCGGUGGAGUUGUGGUGAUGGUGAUGGUGAUGCCAAAUGGAGAGGGUGGAAGCAGAGGUUUUGAUGGGCUCGGCAGUUGUGUGCCGCAGAGUUGUGGCAGCUAGUUGAAGAUGUGGUGAUGGUGAUUUGCUGUUGAAUCUCAGCAGGCUCGAAGAUGAGUAGGGUUCAACAACUCUGUAUCCCCUGCCCAUGUAGACGAUGAUGAAGAAUCCAUCUUUCAUUAGACUUGUUUCUUUCAGGGUAGAGGUCAGUAGUAUGAAUAAUGUUUGAUGGUAUCCACAAUUACAUCAAUUCCAAAAAGAGCUCAAGCUAAGUUUAUCUUAUGUUUUGUCAAACUUGUUCUCAUGUGACUACAAGGCCUAUAGACGAUAACUAAAACUUUGGGAAGUCAUCAUUGUAAUAUUACAGGUAUUGCUAUUUCCUGCUCCCAAGCAAGUUGUUAAUUUUAAUGUUUUUUUUUUCUCGCUUCAAGUGCUUCAAAUGUGAGGAAAUCGUUUCUUUACAUCUGAAGCAUUUUCAAUGUCUUUCAGCUAUAUUAGUUGUCUGCAUAAGAAUUACCAUGAUAUGUUUUUACGAGUUAUGGUAAAAUACUCCAAAUUUUGCUAGUUGUCUUCAUUGUUGCUCAGUCAUUAGAUGCAAUCGCCAAAGGAAAUGAUUUUCUCAGUAGCAGAUUGGGCUACGUUCAAAGACUUUGUAUGGGAGGGCAGGGCAGAUCCAGUCUAUCUGUUGCAGAGACUUAGGCUGCAGAUUUUUUGUUUGUUUGUUUAGAGUAUCUGGAUAAUGUAGGGUGACGGGUAGUAGCUGGCGGAGGGUGAUUAGGAAUUGUCUCCUUGCUAUUGGUUGGCAAGGAGGCGUAGAAGCUGAAGUUUUCUGCAUUUUGAGUGGCUGCUUGGCAUGCUCUGAUUUUUUUCAUUCCCCUUUCCAGUCUUCUAUUUUCCGAUAUGAUAGGUACUUCUCCUAUGAACAUUUCUAUGCGAUAUACUGCAAAUUUUGGGAGCUGGAUAUGGAUCAUGAUUUCUUGAUUGAUAAAGAGAAUCUUAUUAGAUAUGGUAACCAUG